Molecule: small nuclear RNA, 175 nt
Filed under: Oncorhynchus kisutch (coho salmon)
Lineage: Eukaryota; Metazoa; Chordata; Actinopteri; Salmoniformes; Salmonidae
Description: U2 spliceosomal RNA (ENSOKIG00005012587.1)
Rfam family: U2 spliceosomal RNA
About the family: U2 is a small nuclear RNA (snRNA) component of the spliceosome (involved in pre-mRNA splicing).
Source: Rfam by way of RNAcentral
AAAACUUUUCCAAAAUAAAAAAUCUGUUCUCAUCAGUUUAAUAUCUGAUCCGUCCCCUAUCUGGGGACCAUAUAUUAAAUAGAUUUUUGGAACAGGGAGAUGGAAUAGGGGCUUGCUCCGUCCACUCCACGCAUCGACCUGGUAUUGCAGUACCUCCAGGAACGGUGCACCCCCU